RNAcentral lists this unclassified non-coding RNA (378 nucleotides) under plant metagenome. RNAcentral describes it as "partial contains 5.8S ribosomal RNA, internal transcribed spacer 2, and large subunit ribosomal RNA". The stretch from base 1 to 105 matches the Rfam family "5.8S ribosomal RNA", at positions 50 to 154 of the family's 154-position model. The record is from RNAcentral.
GAAAUGCGAUAAGUAAUGUGAAUUGCAGAAUUCAGUGAAUCAUCGAAUCUUUGAACGCACCUUGCGCUCCUUGGUAUUCCUUGGAGCAUGCCUGUUUGAGUAUCAUGAAAUCUUCAAAGUAAAUCUUUUGUUAACUCAAUUGGUUUCUACUUUGGUAUUGGAGGUCUUUGCAGCUUCACACCUGCUCCUCUUUGUUUAUUAGCUGGAUCUCAGUGUUAUGCUUGGUUCCACUCGGCGUGAUAAGUUAUCUAUCGCUGAGGACACUGUAAAAGGUGGCCAAGGUAAAUGCGGAUGAACCGCUUCUAAUAGUCCAUUGACUUGGACAAUACUUUUAUGAUCUGAUCUCAAAUCAGGUAGGACUACCCGCUGAACUUAAGC